RNAcentral lists this ribosomal RNA (790 nucleotides) under uncultured Oceanospirillales bacterium. Its description in RNAcentral is "bacterial SSU rRNA". It matches the Rfam family "Bacterial small subunit ribosomal RNA", at positions 50 to 813 of the family's 1533-position model. Lineage: Bacteria; Pseudomonadati; Pseudomonadota; Gammaproteobacteria; Oceanospirillales. The record is from RNAcentral.
UACACAUGCAGUCGACGAGAACGCUCUAGCUUGCUAGAGUAAGUAAAGUGGCGCACGGGUGAGUAACGCGUGGGUAAUCUACCUUCGAAUUGGGGAUAACGUUGCGAAAGCGACGCUAAUACCGGAUGACAUCCAUUUAUCUUCGGAUUUUUGGAUCAAAGGUGGCCUCUACAUGUAAGCUACUGUUUGGAGAUGAGCCCGCGUACCAUUAGCUUGUUGGUGGGGUAACGGCCUACCAAGGCAACGGUGGUUAGCUGGUCUGAGAGGAUGAUCAGCCACACUGGAACUGACACACGGUCCAGACUCCUACGGGAGGCAGCAGUGAGGAAUUUUGCGCAAUGGGGGAAACCCUGACGCAGCAACGCCGCGUGAGUGAUGAAGGCUUUCGGGUCGUAAAGCUCUGUCAAGUGGGAAGAACCCAUAUAAUGUUAAUACCAUUAUAUACUGACGGUACCACUGAAGGAAGCACCGGCUAACUCCGUGCCAGCAGCCGCGGUAAUACGGGGGGUGCAAGCGUUAUUCGGAAUCAUUGGGCGUAAAGAGCACGUAGGCGGCCUGGUAAGUCAGAUGUGAAAGCCCGGGGCUUAACCCCGGAAGUGCAUUUGAUACUGCCAGGCUUGAGUAUGGGAGAGGGAAGUGGAAUUCCUGGUGUAGAGGUGAAAUUCGUAGAUAUCAGGAGGAACACCGGUGGCGAAGGCGACUUCCUGGACCAAUACUGACGCUGAGGUGCGAAGGCGUGGGUAGCAAACAGGAUUAGAUACCCUGGUAGUCCACGCAGUAUACACAUGCA